CAGUAGCCGCGGUAAUACGGAGGGAGCUAGCGUUGUUCGGAAUUACUGGGCGUAAAGCGCACGUAGGCGGCUUUGUAAGUUAGAGGUGAAAGCCUGGAGCUCAACUCCAGAAUUGCCUUUAAGACUGCAUCGCUUGAAUCCAGGAGAGGUGAGUGGAAUUCCGAGUGUAGAGGUGAAAUUCGUAGAUAUUCGGAAGAACACCAGUGGCGAAGGCGGCUCACUGGACUGGUAUUGACGCUGAGGUGCGAAAGCGUGGGGAGCAAACAGGAUUAGAUACCCCUGUAGUCCCUGUCUCUUAUAC
Molecule: ribosomal RNA, 301 nt
Filed under: uncultured bacterium
Lineage: Bacteria
Description: partial 16S ribosomal RNA
Rfam family: Bacterial small subunit ribosomal RNA
Source: RNAcentral